RNAcentral lists this ribosomal RNA (426 nucleotides) under uncultured bacterium. Its description in RNAcentral is "bacterial SSU rRNA". It matches the Rfam family "Bacterial small subunit ribosomal RNA", at positions 355 to 772 of the family's 1533-position model. The record is from RNAcentral.
UGGGGAAUUGUUCGCAAUGGGCGCAAGCCUGACGACGCAACGCCGCGUGGAGGAUGAAGAUUUUCGGAUCGUAAACUCCUGUCGAAUGGGACGAACAGAUAGCGGGUUAACAGCCCGCCAUCCUGACGGUACCGUUAAAGGAAACCCCGGCUAACUCCGUGCCAGCAGCCGCGGUAAUACGGAGGGUGCAAGCGUUAUCCGGAUUCACUGGGUUUAAAGGGUGCGUAGGAGGGCAGGUAAGUCAGUGGUGAAAUCCCCAAGCUUAACUUGGGAACUGCCGUUGAUACUAUCUGUCUUGAAUACCGUGGAGGUGAGCGGAAUAUGUCAUGUAGCGGUGAAAUGCUUAGAUAUGACAUAGAACACCAAUUGCGAAGGCAGCUCGCUACACGAAUAUUGACUCUGAGGCACGAAAGCGUGGGGAUCAAA